GACGAACGCUGGCGGCGUGCCUAACACAUGCAAGUCGAACGGAGUUGUUCCUUCGGGGACAACUUAGUGGCGAACGGGUGAGUAACGCGUGAGGAACCUGCCUUCCAGUGGGGGACAACAGUUGGAAACGACUGCUAAUACCGCAUAACAUUCACGGACCACAUGAUCUGUGAAUCAAAGCUUUAUGUGCUGGGAGAUGGCCUCGCAUCUGAUUAGCUAGUUGGUGGGGCAACGGCUCACCAAGGCGACGAUCAGUAGCCGGUCUGAGAGGAUGAACGGCCACAUUGGGACUGAGAUACGGCCCAG
This 306-nucleotide ribosomal RNA is filed under the name uncultured bacterium. RNAcentral's name for it is "bacterial SSU rRNA". It matches the Rfam family "Bacterial small subunit ribosomal RNA", at positions 28 to 334 of the family's 1533-position model. The record is from RNAcentral.